This 403-nucleotide ribosomal RNA is filed under the name uncultured bacterium. RNAcentral describes it as "partial 16S ribosomal RNA". It matches the Rfam family "Bacterial small subunit ribosomal RNA", at positions 30 to 526 of the family's 1533-position model. The record is from RNAcentral.
AUUGAACGCUGGCGGCAGGCCUAACACAUGCAAGUCGAGCGAGCGGCGGACGGGUGAGUAAUGUAUGGGGACUGCCCGAUAGAGGGGGAUAACUACUGGAAACGGUGGCUAAUACCGCGUACUCUCGUAUAACCCAUAUGGGAUUAGCUAGUAGGUACGGGAAUGGCUUACCUAGGCGACGAUCCCUAGCUGGUCUGAGAGGAUGAUCAGCCACACUGGGACUGAGACACGGCCCAGACUCCUACGGAGGCAGCAGUGGGGAAUAUUGCACAAUGGGCGCAAGCCUGAUGAAGCCAUGCCGCGUGUAUGAAGAAGGCCCUAGGGUUGUAAAGUACUUUCAGUCGGGAGGCGUUACCGACAGAAGAAGCACCGGCUAACUCCGUGCCAGCCGCCGCGGUAAUAC